Molecule: ribosomal RNA, 498 nt
Filed under: uncultured bacterium
Lineage: Bacteria
Description: partial 16S ribosomal RNA
Rfam family: Bacterial small subunit ribosomal RNA
Source: RNAcentral
AUUGAACGCUGGCGGCAUGCCUUACACAUGCAAGUCGAACGGCAGCACGGGGCAACCUGGUGGCGAGUGGCGAACGGGUGAGUAAUGCAUCGGAACGUACCUUUCAGUGGGGGAUAACGUAGCGAAAGUUACGCUAAUACCGCAUAUUCUGUGAGCAGGAAAGCAGGGGAUCGCAAGACCUUGCGCUGAUUGAGCGGCCGAUGUCAGAUUAGCUAGUUGGUGAGGUAAAGGCUCACCAAGGCGACGAUCUGUAGCGGGUCUGAGAGGAUGAUCCGCCACACUGGAACUGAGACACGGCCCAGACUCCUACGGGAGGCAGCAGUGGGGAAUUUUGGACAAUGGGGGCAACCCUGAUCCAGCCAUGCCGCGUGAGUGAAGAAGGCCUUCGGGUUGUAAAGCUCUUUCGGCCGGGAAGAAAUCGCACGGGCUAAUACCCUGUGUGGAUGACGGUACCGGAAUAAGAAGCACCGGCUAACUACGUGCCAGCAGCCGCAGUAA